This 588-nucleotide ribosomal RNA is filed under the name uncultured bacterium. Its description in RNAcentral is "bacterial SSU rRNA". It matches the Rfam family "Bacterial small subunit ribosomal RNA", at positions 102 to 686 of the family's 1533-position model. The record is from RNAcentral.
ACGGGUGAGUAAUACAUCGGAACGUGCCCGAUCGUGGGGGAUAACGGAGCGAAAGCUUUGCUAAUACCGCAUACGAUCUACGGAUGAAAGCAGGGGACCGCAAGGCCUUGCGCGGACGGAGCGGCCGAUGGCAGAUUAGGUAGUUGGUGGGAUAAAAGCUUACCAAGCCGACGAUCUGUAGCUGGUCUGAGAGGACGACCAGCCACACUGGGACUGAGACACGGCCCAGACUCCUACGGGAGGCAGCAGUGGGGAAUUUUGGACAAUGGGCGAAAGCCUGAUCCAGCCAUGCCGCGUGCAGGAUGAAGGCCUUCGGGUUGUAAACUGCUUUUGUACGGAACGAAAAGCCUCUUUCUAAUAAAGAGAGGUCAUGACGGUACCGUAAGAAUAAGCACCGGCUAACUACGUGCCAGCAGCCGCGGUAAUACGUAGGGUGCGAGCGUUAAUCGGAAUUACUGGGCGUAAAGCGUGCGCAGGCGGUGAUGUAAGACAGAUGUGAAAUCCCCGGGCUCAACCUGGGAACUGCAUUUGUGACUGCAUCGCUGGAGUGCGGCAGAGGGGGAUGGAAUUCCGCGUGUAGCAGUGAAA